Molecule: transfer RNA, 84 nt
Filed under: Coriobacteriales bacterium
Lineage: Bacteria; Bacillati; Actinomycetota; Coriobacteriia; Coriobacteriales
Description: tRNA-Leu
Rfam family: tRNA
About the family: Transfer RNA (tRNA) molecules are approximately 80 nucleotides in length. Their secondary structure includes four short double-helical elements and three loops (D, anti-codon, and T loops).
Source: RNAcentral
GCCCGGGUGGCGGAAUGGCAGACGCGGAGGUCUCAAAAACCUUUACCUUCGGGUGUGUGGGUUCGACUCCCACCCCGGGCACCA